GGGGGGAGGCCGGAUCCUGGGCUGUGUCCCGGCGCCCUGUGCUCCGGAGCCUGCGCUGGUGGAUUCGCGCUCCCGGGCCGCCGCCGCGCAGCCCCCU
Molecule: microRNA precursor, 97 nt
Filed under: Canis lupus familiaris (dog)
Lineage: Eukaryota; Metazoa; Chordata; Mammalia; Carnivora; Canidae
Description: mir-8799 microRNA precursor family
Rfam family: mir-8799 microRNA precursor family
Source: Rfam by way of RNAcentral